GAAUUGACGGGGGCCCGCACAAGCGGAGGAACAUGUGGUUUAAUUCGAUGAUACGCGAGGAACCUUACCCGGGCUUGAAUUGCAGAUGAAGGAUCCAGAGAUGGUGACGCCCUUCGGGGCAUCUGUGAAGGUGCUGCAUGGUUGUCGUCAGCUCGUGCCGUGAGGUGUCGGCUCAAGUGCCAUAACGAGCGCAACCCCUUUCUUCAGUUGCCAUCAGGUAAAGCUGGGCACUCUGGAGAUACUGCCACCGCAAGGUGUGAGGAAGGUGGGGAUGACGUCAAAUCAGCACGGCCCUUACGUCCGGGGCUACACACGUGUUACAAUGGGGGGUACAGAAAGCCGGCUGCCCGCAAGGUCAGUCCAAUCAAGAAAGCCUCCCUCAGUUCGGACUGGGGUCUGCAACCCGACCCCACGAAGCUGGAUUCGCUAGUAAUCGCGCAUCAGCCAUGGCGCGGUGAAUACGUUCCCGGGCCUUGUACACACCG
This 485-nucleotide ribosomal RNA is filed under the name uncultured Prevotella sp. RNAcentral describes it as "bacterial SSU rRNA". It matches the Rfam family "Bacterial small subunit ribosomal RNA", at positions 907 to 1392 of the family's 1533-position model. The record is from RNAcentral. Lineage: Bacteria; Pseudomonadati; Bacteroidota; Bacteroidia; Bacteroidales; Prevotellaceae.